GGAGAGAUGCCAGAGCGGCUGAAUGGGCCGGUCUCGAAAACCGGUGUGGCUUCAUUGUCACCGAGGGUUCGAAUCCCUCUCUCUCCGCCA
This 90-nucleotide transfer RNA is filed under the name Planctomycetota bacterium. RNAcentral describes it as "tRNA-Ser". It matches the Rfam family "tRNA". From Rfam's summary of the family: Transfer RNA (tRNA) molecules are approximately 80 nucleotides in length. Their secondary structure includes four short double-helical elements and three loops (D, anti-codon, and T loops). Further hydrogen bonds mediate the characteristic L-shaped molecular structure. tRNAs have two regions of fundamental functional importance: the anti-codon, which is responsible for specific mRNA codon recognition, and the 3' end, to which the tRNAs corresponding amino acid is attached (by aminoacyl-tRNA synthetases). tRNAs cope with the degeneracy of the genetic code in two manners: having more than one tRNA (with a specific anti-codon) for a particular amino acid; and 'wobble' base-pairing, i.e. permitting non-standard base-pairing at the 3rd anti-codon position. Lineage: Bacteria; Pseudomonadati; Planctomycetota. The record is from RNAcentral.